CCUACGGGUGGCAGCAGUGGGGAAUAUUGGACAAUGGGCGAAAGCCUGAUCCAGCAAUACCGCGUGAAUGAUGAAGGCCUUAGGGUUGUAAAGUUCUUUUAGUAGGGAUACGGUACCUACAGAAAAAGCCCCGGCUAACUCCGUGCCAGCAGCCGCGGUAAGACGGAGGGGGCUAGCGUUGUUCGGAAUUACUGGGCGUAAAGAGCGCGUAGGCGGAUUAGUAAGUUGGAAGUGAAAGCCCGGGGCUUAACCUCGGAAUAGCUUUCAAAACUACUAGUCUUGAGUGUAGUAGGGGAUGAUGGAAUUCCUAGUGUAGAGGUGAAAUUCUUAGAUAUUAGGAGGAACACCGGUGGCGAAGGCGGUCAUCUGGCUCAACUGACGCUGAGGCGCGAAAGCGUGGGGAGCAAACAGGAUUAGAUACCCUUGUAGUC
This 431-nucleotide ribosomal RNA is filed under the name uncultured bacterium. RNAcentral's name for it is "partial 16S ribosomal RNA". It matches the Rfam family "Bacterial small subunit ribosomal RNA", at positions 338 to 795 of the family's 1533-position model. The record is from RNAcentral.